RNAcentral lists this ribosomal RNA (397 nucleotides) under uncultured bacterium. RNAcentral describes it as "bacterial SSU rRNA". It matches the Rfam family "Bacterial small subunit ribosomal RNA", at positions 64 to 507 of the family's 1533-position model. The record is from RNAcentral.
GAGCGCCGUAGCAAUACGGAGCGGCAGACGGGAGAGUAACACGUGGGAACGUGCCCUUCAGUUCGGAACAACCCAGGGAAACUUGGGCUAAUACCGGAUACGUCCGUAAGGAGAAAGAUUUAUCGCUGAAGGAUCGGCCCGCGUCUGAUUAGCUAGUUGGCGGGGUAACGGCCCACCAAGGCGAUGAUCGGUAGCCGGCCUGAGAGGGCGCACGGCCACACUGGAACUGAAACACGGUCCAGACUCCUACGGGAGGCAGCAGUGGGGAAUUUUGCGCAAUGGGGGAAACCCUGACGCAGCAACGCCGCGUGGAGGAUGAAGUCCCUUGGGACGUAAACUCCUUUCGACCGGGACGAUAAUGACGGUACCGGUGGAAGAAGCCCCGGCUAACUUCGUG